UCCGCCCCACAUUCGGCCCGCCUCAUUUUCAUCCCUACAUUUGAUACGAAUUCUCCCUACUUUUGUCUUAUUUUGAUAAUUUCCCAUAAACAUAGAUUGCCUACAGACAAAUCUUGUCAGCCGAAAUCAUUUUUCUAUCGAAAGUCCCACAAUUGAAAAAAAGAAUAAUCGUUUUAAGGAAAAUAACUAAGAACAAUAAAUGAAUAUGUAAAAAAUCAAG
RNAcentral lists this long non-coding RNA (220 nucleotides) under Solanum tuberosum (potato). Its description in RNAcentral is "long non-coding RNA (STUB_LNC006219)". Lineage: Eukaryota; Viridiplantae; Streptophyta; Magnoliopsida; Solanales; Solanaceae. The record is from RNAcentral.